CCUACGGGCGGCAGCAGUGAGGAAUAUUGGUCAAUGGACGAGAGUCUGAACCAGCCAAGUAGCGUGAAGGAUGACUGCCCUAUGGGUUGUAAACUUCUUUUAUAAAGGAAUAAAACGAGGCACGUGUGCCUUUUUGCAUGUACUUUAUGAAUACGGAUCGGCUAACUCCGUGCCAGCAGCCGCGGUAAUACGGAGGAUCCGAGCGUUAUCCGGAUUUAUUGGGUUUAAAGGGAGCGUAGAUGGGUUGUUAAGUCAGUUGUGAAAGUUUGCGGCUCAACCGUAAAAUUGCAAUUGAUACGGGCAGUCGUGAGUACAGAUGAGGUAAGCGGAAUUCGUGGGGUAGCGGUGAAAUGCUUAGAUAUCACGAAGAACCCCGAUUGCGAAGGCAGCUUACUAAACUGUGACUGACAUUGAUGCUCGAAAGUGUGGGUAUCAAACAGGAUUAGAUACCCGGGUAGU
RNAcentral lists this ribosomal RNA (459 nucleotides) under uncultured bacterium. Its description in RNAcentral is "partial 16S ribosomal RNA". It matches the Rfam family "Bacterial small subunit ribosomal RNA", at positions 338 to 794 of the family's 1533-position model. The record is from RNAcentral.